RNAcentral lists this ribosomal RNA (117 nucleotides) under Lysinibacillus fusiformis. RNAcentral describes it as "partial 23S ribosomal RNA". It matches the Rfam family "Bacterial large subunit ribosomal RNA", at positions 2809 to 2925 of the family's 2925-position model. RNAcentral also lists the same sequence under 2 other names. Lineage: Bacteria; Bacillati; Bacillota; Bacilli; Caryophanales; Bacillaceae. The record is from RNAcentral.
AUUUCCCAUUACGCAAGUAAGUAAGAUCCCUCAAAGACGAUGAGGUAGAUAGGUUCGAGGUGGAAGUGUGGUGACACAUGGAGCUGACGAAUACUAAUCGAUCGAGGACUUAACCAA